RNAcentral lists this ribosomal RNA (433 nucleotides) under uncultured bacterium. RNAcentral describes it as "partial 16S ribosomal RNA". It matches the Rfam family "Bacterial small subunit ribosomal RNA", at positions 29 to 507 of the family's 1533-position model. The record is from RNAcentral.
AACGAACGAUGGCGGCAUGCCUAACACAUGCAAGUCGAACGAGACCUUCGGGCCUAGUGGCGCACGGGUGCGUAACGCGUGGGAACCUGCCCUUAGGUUCGGAAUAACUCCCCGAAAGGGGUGCUAAUACCGGUUAAUGUCUUCGGACCAAAGAUUUAUCGCCUUUGGAUGGGCCCGCGUUGGAUUAGCUAGUUGGUAGGGUAAAAGCCUACCAAGGCGACGAUCCAUAGCUGGUCUGAGAGGAUGAUCAGCCACACUGGGACUGAGACACGGCCCAGACUCCUACGGGAGGCAGCAGUGGGGAAUAUUGGACAAUGGGCGAAAGCCUGAUCCAGCAAUGCCGCGUGAGUGAUGAAGGCCUUAGGGUUGUAAAGCUCUUUUACCCGGGAUGAUAAUGACAGUACCGGGAGAAUAAGCUCCGGCUAACUCCGUG